GAACGCUGGCGGCGUGCUUAACACAUGCAAGUCGAGCGGAAAGGCCCUUCGGGGUACUCGAGCGGCGAACGGGUGAGUAACACGUGAGUAACCUGCCCUUGGCUCUGGGAUAAGCCCGGGAAACUGGGUCUAAUACCGGAUAUGACACACUCUCGCAUGAGAUGUGUGUGGAAAGUUUUUCGGCCAGGGAUGGACUCGCGGUCUAUCAGCUUGUUGGUGGGGUGAUGGCCUACCAAGGCGACGACGGAUAGCCGGCCUGAGAGGGUGACCGGCCACACUGGGACUGAGACACGGCCCAGACUCCUACGGGAGGCAGCAGUGGGGAAUAUUGCGCAAUGGGCGGAAGCCUGACGCAGCGACGCCGCGUGGGGGAUGAAGGCCUUCGGGUUGUAAACCUCUUUCACCACCGACGAAGCUAACGUGACGGUAGGUGGGGAAGAAGCGCCGGCUAACUACGUGCCAGCAGCCGCGGUAAUACGUAGGGCGCAAGCGUUGUCCGGAAUUAUUGGGCGUAAAGAGCUCGUAGGCGG
This 530-nucleotide ribosomal RNA is filed under the name Actinoallomurus oryzae. Its description in RNAcentral is "bacterial SSU rRNA". It matches the Rfam family "Bacterial small subunit ribosomal RNA", at positions 31 to 578 of the family's 1533-position model. Lineage: Bacteria; Bacillati; Actinomycetota; Actinomycetes; Streptosporangiales; Thermomonosporaceae. The record is from RNAcentral.